Molecule: ribosomal RNA, 109 nt
Filed under: Prolemur simus (greater bamboo lemur)
Lineage: Eukaryota; Metazoa; Chordata; Mammalia; Primates; Lemuridae
Source: RNAcentral
GUCUACAGCCAUACCACCCUGAACACGUCCAAUCUUGUCUGAUCUCAGAAGCUAAGCAGGGUCAGGCCUGGUUAGUACUUGGAUGGGAGAAACACUUGUGAAGUUCACA